GCUGGGCAUGGUGGUGCAUGCCUAUAAUCCCAGCUACUCAGGAGGCUGAGACAGGAGAAUCGCUUGAACCCAGGAGGCAGAGGUUGCAGUGAGCUGAAAUCGUGCCACUGCACUCCAGCCUGGGUGACAGAGUGAGACUCUGUCUCAA
This 148-nucleotide signal recognition particle RNA is filed under the name Nomascus leucogenys (northern white-cheeked gibbon). RNAcentral describes it as "Metazoan signal recognition particle RNA". It matches the Rfam family "Metazoan signal recognition particle RNA". From Rfam's summary of the family: The signal recognition particle (SRP) is a universally conserved ribonucleoprotein. Lineage: Eukaryota; Metazoa; Chordata; Mammalia; Primates; Hylobatidae. The record is from Rfam by way of RNAcentral.